This 209-nucleotide long non-coding RNA is filed under the name Homo sapiens (human). RNAcentral's name for it is "LHRI_LNC2068.1". The record is from RNAcentral. Lineage: Eukaryota; Metazoa; Chordata; Mammalia; Primates; Hominidae.
GACCGGGUUUCUCCAUGUUGGUCAGGCUGGUCUUGAACUCCUGACCUCAGGUGAUCCACCUGCCUUGGCCUCCCAAAGUGCUGGGAUUACAGGUGUGAGCCACCACGCCCAGCUAAUUUUCUCUUUUUAAAGGGCAGCAUUCAUUCAAAGGCUCCUUUAGAUCCCUCCCACCACCAGAGUAUCUCUGGCUCCUCCCUACAAAAGGCACA